This 453-nucleotide ribosomal RNA is filed under the name uncultured bacterium. RNAcentral describes it as "bacterial SSU rRNA". It matches the Rfam family "Bacterial small subunit ribosomal RNA", at positions 340 to 786 of the family's 1533-position model. The record is from RNAcentral.
UACGGGAGGCAGCAGUGGGGAAUAUUGCACAAUGGGCGCAAGCCUGAUGCAGCCAUGCCGCGUGUAUGAAAAAGGCCUUCGGGUUGUAAAGUACUUUCAGUCGUGAGGAAGGUGUUAAGGUUAAUAACCUUAGCAAUUGACGUUAGCGACAGAAGAAGCACCGGCUAACUCCGUGCCAGCAGCCGCGGUAAUACGGAGGGUGCGAGCGUUAAUCGGAAUUACUGGGCGUAAAGGGCACGCAGGCGGUUAAUUAAGUUGGAUGUGAAAUCCCCGGGCUUAACCUGGGAAUGGCAUUCAAGACUGGUUAGCUAGAGUCUUGUAGAGGGGGUAGAAUUCCAUGUGUAGCGGUGAAGUGCGUAGAGAUGUGGAGGAAUACCGGUGGCGAAGGCGGCCCCUGGACAAAGACUGACGCUCAUGUGCGAAAGCGUGGGGAGCAAACAGGGAUUAGAUACC